CUGAGAUGGGAAAGACCAAUGAUGAAAAGACCAGUGAUGUUUCUUCACUCCUUUCAGAAGAUAUUAACUGCAAGUUCCUGUCUUGCAAGAGUUUGGGCGUUGCAGAGAACAACAGGUGAAGGCGUGAAGUGCAACACUGAGAAAACAUGCACAUGCACAUAGGAUAAUCUCAGUGUCCCAGUUGUGCACUUGCAUGGCUAGGUAAAACAGAACAAAACAAGACAGCAACCUGAAGGUAAAGUUCUCAUUAAGCAUUGUCUGGGCUGUCUAGAAGCAGUAGAUCUUCUCUACCACCUACUGGAAUUUAU
This 308-nucleotide long non-coding RNA is filed under the name Gallus gallus (chicken). RNAcentral describes it as "long non-coding RNA NONGGAT008864". The record is from RNAcentral. Lineage: Eukaryota; Metazoa; Chordata; Aves; Galliformes; Phasianidae.